AGAGUUUGAUCCUGGCUCAGGACGAACGCUGGCGGCGUGCCUAAUACAUGCAAGUCGAGCGAAUCAGAUGGGAGCUUGCUCCCUGAUGGUUAGCGGCGGACGGGUGAGUAACACGUGGGUAACCUGCCUGUAAGACUGGGAUAACUCCGGGAAACCGGGGCUAAUACCGGAUAACUUCUUUCACCGCAUGGUGAAAGAUU
Molecule: ribosomal RNA, 200 nt
Filed under: uncultured bacterium
Lineage: Bacteria
Description: partial 16S ribosomal RNA
Rfam family: Bacterial small subunit ribosomal RNA
Source: RNAcentral